CAACAACCACAUAUAUACAUUGCUGCUCAUAGCACUCAUGAAACACAUCAUUAGAUAACAAUAUCUCAAGUUUCAUUAAAGCCAACAUUUAGCAAUACACAUCAAGUUCAAUCAUCUAAGAUUCUAAUCCAUGACAGUUCCAUCAUCUGACACAACCUAGCUAGGUUAAAUGGUAGGCACAAGCCAUAUGUUUGCUUCCACAAUCUAACUCGAUUCACUACAAAAUGCCCCAUCUCCAUCUUAUCAAAAGCAAUAUGUUGGCUUCCUGGUGACUUUCCAAUAUCAUAAACACCUCCAAGGCUUCCGUCCCACCUGAAUACAAAAAAACACAGCGCACACUCGUAAAAAAAUACAAAUAAAGAUGACUACAUGCUGCUUUAAACUAGAUUCCUAUGCUUUUUGCCCUUCCACAAAAUUUAAGGAGAGUUUGAACAAGAAUCUGCAUAUACUAGUAAGAAUCGAUAGGCGCCAAGUUACAUUCAACAUAGUUGCAUUCAAAUAACAGAAAAAUAGAGUCUUGUACUGUCAGUUUUUUCUCCAUUUUUUCUAAACGUGGAAAACAGCAGGGGAAGGCCCCAUUUUUAGAUUUUCUAUAUUUACAUUGGUCAGUUACAAACAUUAGAUUCUAGACAUAAGCUUUUUCAUGCCUGAUGAAAUUGAGGUAAAGGUAAUUCCUACAUGAUGCAUGUCCAACACUGAUAACAUUUAUCAGUUAGAAUUAUGCUUUCAAGAGUUUCAUAUAAAAUCUGCUAGUAGCAUUCAUUGGCCAUUAAAUUGCAAUUUUUGUAGCUACAUUUGCACAAAAUUGCAAUAGAAAAAGGUAGAAAUCACAUUUAGACUGCCUAUCUGAGUUCUAGCUCUUCUCUCCUCCUGCUCCAUGUCCACAGUGUAAAACAAGGCUUACUUCAAAGUUGGGAGACAUCUAAUGAGUUACAAGAUACUCCCAUUAACUAAAAGCAAAAGCUAAGAAACCAUUCAAUCCAUGUUCAACCUUCACGCAAGACAUCAACCAGAUUUCCAUAUGAAAUAAAAAACAUAUCAUAAGCACUAAAAUAGUCGCAUACUUCUACAACUUGAAAAAAAAGAGAGCAACAACUAGGGAAACAGAAACCUACCGAUACAAACAAGUAGAGCUGCUACUGGAGCAUGUUCAAAUGCCUUCACAAGGUGUCCAGCUACACGUGGAGCAGCUGCAAUUAAAAUAUGGUGAGGUUAUACAUGUGCAUAUAUUACAGCUCAAAUAUAUCUCUUAAAUACCUACAGUGGCAGAGGAUGAAAUGAAAAUACACUACAAAAUGACCACCCCUCUUGCAAUGCAUAUAUACGUUGCUAAAAAUACUUGAAUGAGCAGAGGGGAUACCUUAGGGUAGGAAGUGCAGGGCGCAAAAUGGAAUUGACGGGAGGGAAACUUAGGCUAGAUCGAGGAUUCUCCUAACU
This 1437-nucleotide long non-coding RNA is filed under the name Sorghum bicolor (sorghum). RNAcentral describes it as "long non-coding RNA (SBIC_LNC014554)". Lineage: Eukaryota; Viridiplantae; Streptophyta; Magnoliopsida; Poales; Poaceae. The record is from RNAcentral.